Molecule: ribosomal RNA, 687 nt
Filed under: Escherichia coli
Lineage: Bacteria; Pseudomonadati; Pseudomonadota; Gammaproteobacteria; Enterobacterales; Enterobacteriaceae
Description: partial 23S ribosomal RNA
Rfam family: Bacterial large subunit ribosomal RNA
Source: RNAcentral
GAAGUGUGGACGCCAGUCUGCAUGGAGCCGACCUUGAAAUACCACCCUUUAAUGUUUGAUGUUCUAACGUUGACCCGUGAUCCGGGUUGCGGACAGUGUCUGGUGGGUAGUUUGACUGGGGCGGUCUCCUCCUAAAGAGUAACGGAGGAGCACGAAGGUUGGCUAAUCCUGGUCGGACAUCAGGAGGUUAGUGCAAUGGCAUAAGCCAGCUUGACUGCGAGCGUGACGGCGCGAGCAGGUGCGAAAGCAGGUCAUAGUGAUCCGGUGGUUCUGAAUGGAAGGGCCAUCGCUCAACGGAUAAAAGGUACUCCGGGGAUAACAGGCUGAUACCGCCCAAGAGUUCAUAUCGACGGCGGUGUUUGGCACCUCGAUGUCGGCUCAUCACAUCCUGGGGCUGAAGUAGGUCCCAAGGGUAUGGCUGUUCGCCAUUUAAAGUGGUACGCGAGCUGGGUUUAGAACGUCGUGAGACAGUUCGGUCCCUAUCUGCCGUGGGCGCUGGAGAACUGAGGGGGGCUGCUCCUAGUACGAGAGGACCGGAGUGGACGCAUCACUGGUGUUCGGGUUGUCAUGCCAAUGGCACUGCCCGGUAGCUAAAUGCGGAAGAGAUAAGUGCUGAAAGCAUCUAAGCACGAAACUUGCCCCGAGAUGAGUUCUCCCUGACUCCUUGAGAGUCCUGAAGGAACGUUG